This 402-nucleotide ribosomal RNA is filed under the name bacterium. RNAcentral describes it as "partial 16S ribosomal RNA". It matches the Rfam family "Bacterial small subunit ribosomal RNA", at positions 355 to 776 of the family's 1533-position model. The record is from RNAcentral.
UGGGGAAUUUUGCACAAUGGGGGAAACCCUGAUGCAGCGACGCCGCUUGAUUUAGAAGGCCUUCGGGUUGUAAAAAUCUUUUCUAUGGGAAGAAAAGGACAGUACCAUAGGAAUAAGGACCGGCUAAUUACGUGCCAGCAGCCGCGGUAAUACGUAAGGUCCGAGCGUUGUCCGGAAUCAUUGGGCGUAAAGGGUACGUAGGCGGGUAAGCAAGUUAGAAGUGAAAUCCUAUAGCUCAACUAUAGUAAGCUUUUAAAACUGCUCAUCUUGAGGUAUGGAAGGGAAAGUGGAAUUCCUAGUGUAGCGGUGAAAUGCGCAGAUAUUAGGAGGAAUACCGGUGGCGAAGGCGACUUUCUGGCCAUAACCUGACGCUGAGGUACGAAAGCGUGGGUAGCAAACAGG